This 83-nucleotide transfer RNA is filed under the name Phrynosoma platyrhinos (Desert horned lizard). RNAcentral's name for it is "tRNA-OTHER". Lineage: Eukaryota; Metazoa; Chordata; Lepidosauria; Squamata; Phrynosomatidae. The record is from RNAcentral.
GCCCUGGUGGCAUAGUGGUUAAAUGCCUGUACUGCAACUCACUCAUAGACCACAAGGUUGCGAGUUCAAUACUAGCCAGGGCU